AUUGAACGCUGGCGGCAGGCCUAACACAUGCAAGUCGAGCGGAGCGGCGGACGGGUGAGUAAUGCCUAGGAAUCUGCCUGGUAGUGGGGGAGAACGUCCGGAAACGGGAGCUAAUACCGCAUACUAUCAGAUUAGCAUAGGUCGCAUUAGCUUGUUGGUGGUGUAAAGGCCUACCAAGGCGACGAUCCGUAACUGGUCUGAGAGGUUGAUCAGUCACACGGGAACUUAGACACGGUCCAGACUCCUACGGGAGGCAGCAGUGGGGAAUAUUGGACAAUGGGCGAAAGCCUGAUCCAGCCAUGCCGCGUGUGUGAAGAAGGUCUUCGGAUUGUAAAGCACUUUAAGUUGGGAGGCGUUACCCACAGAAUAAGCACCGGCUAACUUCGUGCCAGCAGCCGCGGUAAUAG
This 407-nucleotide ribosomal RNA is filed under the name uncultured bacterium. RNAcentral's name for it is "partial 16S ribosomal RNA". It matches the Rfam family "Bacterial small subunit ribosomal RNA", at positions 30 to 526 of the family's 1533-position model. The record is from RNAcentral.